GCGGUGGAGCAUGUGGUUUUAAUUCGAUGCAACGCGAAGAACCUUACCUGGGCUUGACAUCCCCGGGAAUCCCCUGGAAACAGGGGAGUGCCCUUCGGGGAACCCGGUGACAGGUGCUGCAUGGCUGUCGUCAGCUCGUGUCGUGAGAUGUUGGGUUAAGUCCCGCAACGAGCGCAACCCUUAUCCCCAGUUGCCAUCAGGUAAAGCUGGGAACUCUGGGGAGACUGCCGGUGAUAAACCGGAGGAAGGCGGGGAUGACGUCAAGUCCUCAUGGCCCUUACAUCCCGGGCUACACACGUGCUACAAUGGCAGGUACAGAGGGCUGCAAAGCCGCGAGGUAGAACGAAUCCCAGAAAACCUGUCUCAGUCCGGAUUGAAGUCUGCAACUCGACUUCAUGAAGGCGGAAUCGCUAGUAACCGCGAAUCAGCAGGUCGCGGUGAAUACGUUCCCGGGCCUU
This 458-nucleotide ribosomal RNA is filed under the name uncultured Latescibacterota bacterium. RNAcentral's name for it is "bacterial SSU rRNA". It matches the Rfam family "Bacterial small subunit ribosomal RNA", at positions 929 to 1382 of the family's 1533-position model. The record is from RNAcentral. Lineage: Bacteria; Pseudomonadati; Candidatus Latescibacterota.